Molecule: transfer RNA, 82 nt
Filed under: Streptomyces siderophoricus
Lineage: Bacteria; Bacillati; Actinomycetota; Actinomycetes; Kitasatosporales; Streptomycetaceae
Also listed under: 1 other name
Description: tRNA-Arg
Rfam family: tRNA
About the family: Transfer RNA (tRNA) molecules are approximately 80 nucleotides in length.
Source: RNAcentral
AGGUCAGAGCCACCUCAUGCCGGUAGCCACCAGGUGCCUUCUAAGCACUUGGCCGCAGGUUCGAGUCCUGCCGGGGGCGCCA